CAGAGGCUAACUGACCAGUGUGGCUCUGAGAUGGCACUCAGAGCCCAGACAAGCAGGUCUUCUCUUCUCAAAACAAUUCUCAAAGUAGCAGAUCUGACACAUUCCUCCUCAUGAUGAAUUUCCACAGUGAGGAAAGUGGAAAACCCUUAAGAUAGUUUCAUAGUUCUCUUUCUUUCCUAUGACAGCAGAGCUAUAUCCAGAGAGUAAAUGCUGAGACCAGUCAAUCUCUUCUGAAGUUAGAGAUCAACUGCUCCCAGAAUUCUGCCUGCUCUACUCCUUCAAAGUUCCAAGCUCAUGCACAGAGUUCCUUCUUGCCUCAUCUACUCUUCAGUCUCUGGAAUAAUCCUACAACAUUCCUUAUCUUAUCAAACCUAAUCAAUAUAUUACUAAUUUACUAAUGUCCUUACUAUACCUUGAAGAGUCAUAAGGAUUCUGAGAUGAGAAGAUAAGAAAGGAAAACAUUUCAGAGAUGGCAGAUAACCUAUUCAAAAUUAUAGCAGUGAGUGCCAGAAUUUAUUGUAUGGGGAAUUGUAAGUAGAUCAGGUUGGAAGGAACAUAGGGUAGAUAAGAAAGGGACAUAUGAAAUUACCUUGGAAAAAUAGGCUACUGCCAACUACAAAGGGCUUUAAAUAUCUUACAGAUAAGGGGAAAGUUAGGUGUUGGUGAAUUGAGAGCCAACCUAGAGAUGGGCUUAAAUCUGGCCUCUUCUGCCUUGGAACCAAUACUGAGUAUGAUUCUAAGAUGGAAAGUAAGAGUUUUUUAAAAAUAGGGUAGUUAGGUGGAUGGGUAAGUUUGGAGGACAAAGUAAUGAGUUUCAUUUUUGAUGUUGACUUUAAGACACCCAUUAAGAUAUGCAAGUGGCACUUAGUUAAGGAAUUUAGGGGACAACAGGUUUGGGCAUCAUCUGGAAAACCAUGAUAACUAAUAUUUGUUAAGAUCAUCGAGAGAGGAAAGCCUAGAGCAGAGUCCUAGGAUACAUCCAUGAAUAUAGAGGAAGGGUGAAAGGGAAACAGAAUAAGCAUUUAUUAAAUGCCUACUAUGUGCCAGGCACUAUGAAAAGUCCUAUAUAAUUUCAUUAUUUCUUAUAAUAACCCUGUGAGGUUGGGGUAUUAUCACCCCCAUUUUACAGUUGGAGAAAUUGGGAGAAAAACAAUGGGUAAGUGACUUGCCCAGCCUCACAUAGUAAGUGUCUGAGGCAGGAUUGUAACUUGGGUUUUCCUCACUGUAGGUCCAGUGUUCUAGGUUCCUUAGCUGCUAGUGGCAUAUGAUGAUCAAGUCUAAAAGACGAAGAAAGUCAGAAGAUAUAGAGCAAAAUGUCAUGCAAACCAAGGAAGGAUCAGAGUACUCAAAAGGGUAAAAAAUGUUGAACACUGCAAUCAUAUCAGUAAAGAUGGGGACUAUGAAAAGCCUUUGGUAUGAACAAUUAAGAGACCUUUGGUAAUUUCAUAGGGAACAAUUUUAGUUGAGUGGUAAGAGUUGGAAGCCAUAUUGCAGGGGAUGGAGAAGUGUACAAGAUUAAAUGAGGUAGGGGUAGCUAAGUGGCUCAGUGGAUUGAGAGUCAGGCCUAGAGACUGGAGGCCCUGGGUGCAAAUAUGACCUCAGACACUUCCUAGCUGUGUGAUCCAGGGCAAGUCAUUUAACUCUCAAGGCCUAGCUCUUAUCACUCUUCUGUCUUGGAACCAACCCACAAUACUGAUUCUCAGACAGAAGGUAAGGGUUUAAAAAAAAUUUGACCUAAGGGCCCUUUCAGUUCCAAAUCUAUGAUCCUGUGAUAUUUCUUUUAAAUAAUUACUGUUUAAUGUCCUUCCAUCUUCUCAAAAUCUUCAUUUCCUAAACUAUUAUGCUAUCCUAAAGAAGUUAAGUCUCAGUUCCUAUUAAGGCUACGGGCUUUCCUCUGUAAAUGAGAUGAAGUUGCUGUCAUCUUUUCCCCUUCAAGCUAAGACUCUUAGGAGGGUAGAUGGGAUAUCAGGGUGAGUACCCAAUUCAUCUGCUCUGUAAGCAUUUGCUCUUUCAGUGACUUCUGGAUAAGGCAAGUGAUUCCAUUUCAGUGGGCAAUAUCAGGUAUGAAUUAAGAAAAUAAACGCUUUAUUUUCCGUCAGACAGUAACUCAUGUUUACGAUCAUUUUCUGCAGGUUUCUAAUUCUAGGAACACUAAAUCAAUCCUUCAUCCAACUUCACUUCCCCACCACUAGCCGCAAACACCCCAGGAAAGAAUAUUUUAACACUUUUGAUUCCACCAACCUCCCUUACCACACUUCAGGAAAUAAAAUUUAAUUUGGGGAGUUGACCUAAAAAUGCCGGAUUUAAUGUAAUCACCUAGAUGCCUUUCGAAGCCUUGAAUGCAGCUGCCACUCACAACUCCAGAAAGCUGCAGGGGUAUGGUUCUAACACGGAACUAACCUUCCCAGCUCUGCUCUUGUUCCCCAGACCACAGCCUGGGCGCAGGAGCCCGGCAGAGUGGGGCCUUCGGGGGAAACCUUUAGGAGUGACGCGCGCCUGCGCAGUUCUCUGCGGCCGGAUUCUUUCCGUGUUUGUAAACAUGCUUCGCCUGGGUUUGCUUCUCCCCUUCCUUCUUAGUCAUGGGUCUGGAUGUUGUAGGCAAUGACGUUUUUUCCCUUCGUCUCUUAUAGAGAAGAGGCCGCCUUGCUUGGCAGGUUGGUGGCGUAUGCAGUGCAGAGGAGAUGAUUUUGGGCAGCGACAUGUGAGCACAGCGCUGGUGCUUGAGCCAGCUGACCUGAAUAGAGAAGGGACUGCAAACGCUGACGGGCUCCUCAAGGAACGGCCCUGCGGAGCGGCCAAGACCAUUUUGGAUGCCCUCUCGGAUAUCCUCAUGUUUCUGGCCAGUCUUUCACACUCUCACAGAUGCGGUUAGAGAAGCUGAAUCGGGACACUUAAGUCCCUUCUGUGGAUCACGCAAUUUCUCACGCUCCCGGACCUCUAAGAGCCCCAGCAACCUGAAGUUGGGGAAGGGGGGGAAAAGGGGUUCAAACUCAAAUUCACUGCGGGUUGGCAUAAUUAAGCCUGCAGGCCUCGCCCCUCCGAGAGGCUGCGCGUUGCUGGGUGGGUCUUAUUGAAUUCUUGACUGCCCCGCCGUAGCACGCCAUUGGCUGCAGACCCAAUAUUUGGGGACGCACCCGUUCUGCUUCUCCCCACAUCAUUGACGUAAUGUUCCAAUGUUGUCUCCGCCUUUCUCCGCCCCUCUGAUGACAAAACCAUCUGGCCGUAAUUUAUUGGGACCUCUUGCUCUCUGUUGGGAGCUGAACUGGCCACGCCCUUCCCCAGGUAGCUCCACCCUCCCCGUCAGAUGACACCGCCCCUCCCUCCAGCUGAUUCCGCCUUUUCUCUCCAAAUGGCCCCGCCCCUUCCCCGGCUGGCUCCGCGUCCUCCGGGACCGCUUCCCUAAUCCCGCACCUUCCGGCUCCGGGGCCACGUCCAGCUGCCUGUCUUUCUCCUUUCUCCUCCUGAGCCUCCGUUUGCGCAGCCGCUGCCUUGGGCCGGUAGAGGGGGAGGAGUUUUCCGGGGCCCCCUUGUCCCUAGCUACCUUGCAUUCGCUCCGGGUCUCCGGCAUCCGCGGAAGAGGAAUCGGCUAGUCCCCCUCUUCUCUCCUCUCCCAGCCGGCAGAGGAGGCGGCUCCAGACCCGGUGCUGCGGGCCGAGGCGCCGGCGCUCACUCGCACUGCCCUCUUCUGUGCCGGAGGAGGUCUUGGAGACUCAGAAUUUGUAUUCAGCCGUCAGUUGGCCCACGGUGGAUCAUCUUUCUCCUGGAUCUUUGUAGCAUCUUCCUCAUUGCUCUUUUUGCCUUUAUCCUCUCCCUACAGGUCCUGAUUGUGCUACCAAGCUUGACCUUGAUGCUUAUAUAUUUUACCAGGUCAAUGACAUCUCACACAUGAGCUGAAGCAACCAAAUGGUCCAGUGAAUAGAAAUUGGGCCUAGAGCCAGGAACUGAGUUGAAAUUUGAUCUCAAAAGUUUGUCACAACCUCUGACUACUUCAGUUUCCUCAUCUAUAAAAUGAGGAUGAUAAUUACAUCUUCCAAUGUUAUUCUAAGAGUAAAAACAAUAAUUAUAAAGUGCUUUGCAAAUCUUAAAGCACUAUUUUAUUUGGUUAAAAAAAAGCUUUUAAGUCAAACUGUCAUUGUAGCAUUUGAACCUUUUAAAACAAUAAAAUGUUAAGUAUUUGUUUUUUCUUAGCUAACAAUAUUUGUGUUAGGAUACAGAACCAAAUUGGAUAUUAAUAUAAUGUGCUAAAGAUGAAAAAUGUUGAUCUGAUUUUUUAAUUCAGUUAAUGAAUACAAAUAUGAAAAUUCAAAGGUUAUGUUCUAAUGACAUUUUAAUGUCUAAAUGGUAUAAUUCAAACCACAGAAUGGUGUAAUAGAUUCAGGAAGGCCUGCCUGUGGCAUAUGCUAGAUGUAUGUGAUCACAGACAAAUUACUUAGCUUCCCAAUGUCCCAGUCUUCUCCGGGACUGUUAAGUAUAAGUUGAUAUGUAUCAAUGAAGAGGAAUUUUCCCUACACAGAUAAAACUAUAGAUCUGAACACUGCACCCCCCACCCAUUCAAACUGUCUAUGUGUGUAGGCUUAUCUAUAGUCCAACAAUACAGAUAUUACCCAAUUGCUUUGGUGCAUUUAUGUUUAUUUUAAUUGUAGAAUUGGUGUCAGCAUUGUACAAUGGAAAGAACAUUGAUAAACACAGGAAUUAUGUUCAAGCCUUCAAAAUUUGGGGAAAUCACUUAACCUCUGGAAGCUUCAGUUUUUUCACUUAUAAAAUGAGGGUAUUGGAUUAAAUGGCCCCUGAAGUGCAACUCUAGAGCUAGGAUCUUAUACAAAUCACUGAUUGAGUUUUACUUCCAGCCUAAUAUUGAGAUAAGCCAUGUGUGAUUUAUUGUUACUAUGAUAGGUUUCUCCCCCAGACAUUCAACACAUAUAAAUACACGUUUCCAUUAAACUGGCUUACGAUAGUAUAACAAUUUUUGUACCAGUAAAAGCAAGUACAAGUACAUUUAGCUAGUAAAAAAAUUUUGAUACAAAGAAGUUUCUCAUUUGAAAAUAAAAGAAACUUUGUCAGAAUUGUUUCUACAUAUUCAAUAUGUAGAUUAUUGUACUAUCCUCAUGGCAUCCUCUAACUGUUCUCCUUCCCCCCACUCUUUAUCUCAUUGCCCUUGAGUGAACAUCUUAGCUAUUUGAGUCACACUCUUGUUAAUUCUUUUGUUAUUUUCAGUUUCAUCUGUCACUGUUGCAGACAAGUUGAGCAGCACAAAAUACUGUGCCAUGUUGUUUUUUUUUUGGGUAACAGAUAAUUGCUGGGGAAGACUUGUGAAAGUCAGUAGAGGCACAUGGCUGCUGAGACAAAACUAAUGAAUCACCCUUUGUUAACAGUUUCAUCCAUGGAAACUGAAAAUACCUUCCUUUUCUCAUCAGUGAAGCUGGCAAAGCUUCAUCCACUGUUCAAGGAAUGACAGCUGUUUUAAUCAUAAGAGGCUAGAUUUAGAGCAACAGGAAGGAGAAAGUCAUUAGGAAAAGAAAAGAGGAAAAUGGGUAGGGUAGGUAGAAUGAGCAGGCUAUGAAGAGAAAAACCAAAGAAAUUUAAUUUUUGUCAUGAAUUUAUAAUCCAGAGUUCAUGGGUCUACAAUUAAAAGGUAAUGUGCAUAAAGGGCAAAGAUGGUUGGAAAAAAGAGGGAAUGUUAAAGAGAAAAGGGCAGAGGGAUCCAGAGUGAGAAAAAAAGUAGAAGAGAAACAAGUAUGAAAGGUGAAGAUGUCAGUAGUGUACUCCGAUAACCUGAGAGAACUUUAAGAGAUCUCAGUAAUCAUCAAACCACCAAGUCUAACAUUUCUCAGUCUUCUGGCAUGUUUUACCACUGUAAACUACUGUAACAGGGAAGUAGUAGUAAGUAGCUAGAUUUUGAGGGUCACUUGGUCAUUUUUGCAUAUUUAUCACUUGUGGGGUCAGACAUACUCACAUACUGACCCUAGUUCAGGCACCAGAUAGUGAAAUCAAAACCAGAAAUUUUCAUUUAUCCAAGACAAACUGUUGUGGGAGAGUCUAGAGGACAGAUGGGGAGCAGUGGCAACAUACAAGCAUAACCUAAAUGGGAUAAAAGGGGUCUUUGUUAUCUCAGAGGAUCCAACUUCCUCUUCUGUAUAGAGGAAAAAUUAGGCCCCAAAAGAGGAUUACCAUAGUGACAAGACCCUGGAAGUAUGGAUGCCUGGGGAUCAAGAGAGGGAACAGGGUGUCAUGGACCAAUAGAGGACCUUGGGGAUAAUGAUAUCAAGACUUCCUUGGGGAAAAAGCAAGUCACUCCAUUCUCUGGGGUAAAGUCCAGUUCACUUCCUGAGUUAUCUCUGGUGGGUAGGGAACAUAUAAGGAGGCUAUAUUUCAAAAUGCUACCUUUCCCUCAAAGUCAUUUUUGCUAUUGAAUGUGCCAUCCAAAUGUGCUUUCAUUGGACUCAACCUUAUUAUCUAGCCUUCGUUCUGAUAGCUGUUACUCAAAUUUUUUGUCAAGGCACUGUCCAUUCUAAUCCAGGCUUUGGCUCCCUAAAGGAUAGGUUCUCAAUAUAGUAUGAUUGUCAUUCAGGCUACCUACUUGGACUCCCACUACUCACCUGUUAUACGAAAAAACUGCCUACAGAUAUUAUACUAGGUUGAAAGGGGGGAGAGGCACAGACAGGCACCUCAAGAUUUAGCAUACUUGAGGUUACAGAGAAUCUUCUCCCUUAAGAAACCCUUUCUCCCUUCAGCCCCCCCCCCCUCACCCUUACAAAGAUUAUCUGACUGCAUUUAAUUAACUAAAGCUGAUUUAAUAACAAAUUCAAAUCAGGAAGGUAUCAGGUUAGAGGGAAUAGGGAUUUGCCCUAUACUUUAGCAUAGAUUGGGUUUCAAUUCUCUCUCAACUUUUGAGCUGAGCUCUGGCCUCAGAGGGUUGUGAAGUGUUUCUUUUAUUCCUAUUGUAUCCUAUAUCUAUGCUAGCUUUGGCCUCACAGGUUUGUGGAGGGUUUCUUUUAUUCCUAUUCUAUACUAUAUCUAUGCUGUGCUUUUUUAAGUUCAAAGUCUUUAGCAGUAGACAGCAAGAGGAAAAGAGAUUCUAAUCUUCAGAGCUGGUUGGGCCUGUAUCUUUGGGCCAAUGCCUCUAAAGACCAGUUCUACAAUUCAAGCCACUCCCCUUAAAUCCUUUUGUUCAAUGACAGGAUUCACAGGAAUUCAGGUAGAGCAAACAGUUGGGAAAAAUCCAGGCAUAGAGGUAAUUUCUAUCCCAAGAGACAGGGAGAGAGCUUCUUCCAGUCCCCAGGUCCAAGAAACAGUUCCCCUCCAGAGCAACUGUCACUCUCCAAGUCUCCCCUCCUUCCUCCAACUGCUUUUGUUAUCAAUCAAUCCUCUCUCCAAUGUUCCCAACCCUUUCUGUGCAAUUUUCCCCACACUUUAAUUUUUGAUGUUUUAUGGAUAUCACAAUUAUUGCCCAAUAACAGCCCUCCAUUGAAACCUCUUUUAGCUAAGAAAAUUGAUUAAUAAAACCAGUCAACAGUGCAAUGACUGGUAGUAUUUCACUAUUUUCUUUUUUAGAGGAGAUAAGUAUUUAAUAUACUAAUGUGUUGCAGACCGCUAUUUUUUACCCAGAGUGAGAAAUUUUUCUAGACACUCAACUCUGUUUUCUACCUUAAUUUUACCAGCCAAACAUCUUUAUUCUUGGGGUCAUGAGCCCUUGCUGUCAUCAUCUCUUUGGUCUGGUUAGACAUUUGGUCUCAAUCUCCUGACCUGUCCCAUUUUGCUGUUACCCAAUAUAAGUAGUUUAGAGGUAUUUUUCAGUACAUAAAAGUUGAGAAAGUGAUUUAACUAUAAGUUGAGUUGCCUCCGGCAUUUAUUCUUAACUAAAAGAUUUUCAGAUAAUUUAGGAUAAUUUAGAAUAUAGUAAUAUUUUUAGAGAAGUUAGUAAUUUGAAAUUGAUCCUUUGGGAACACAAUUAGUUGAAAAUGUUUUCCUAUAAGCUAAGAAAUAAAAAAAAAACCACAGAUGUAAGUCCAAAAUUGAACUAGAUGUUUUAUAGGGGAAAUCCACUAUCUUAGUCUCUAAUUAAGAUUUAUGAUUCACAGAAUUUUAAAAAAGAUCUAAGGCAUCUUUUCUCUCUGGUGGGAAAAUAAGGCAAUAAUUAAAUUUAGCACAAAAGUAACUGAUUUUUUAUUUUAAAAUUCUUAUGCCUAGUAAUACAAUAGUAAGUUGAAUUUUUCUUUCUUUCUUUUUUUUUUUGUACGUAUGUUCCUUCUAGGGGCAUCUAGAAUAUAUCCUCAGAGUAUUUCAUUUUUUGUAACGUGAUUACACAAUUCAAUAAAUAUUUAUUAACCAUUACUAUGUUCCCUGGUUCAGUGGACACAUUGCUAGGAAUAUGAGAAGAAAAGAUGGAUUCUGCUUUUAGGAAGCUACAUACUUUCAUGGGAAGUAUAUACAGAUAAGUAAAUGCAAAAUAGAAGUGAAAUAAAGUAAUUUGCAGGAAAGGGAGAACAACUAGAGGAAUAAAAAAAAGUCUCAUAGGAGGGGGCAUUUAAGCUGACCCUUGGAAGUUCAGGAUCUAGGGAUUCUAAGAUAAAGAUGAUCAUUCCAGGCUUGGGAUUGUGCAAAGAUAAUGGUGAGAGAGGAAAUGUCCUAUUUGGAAAAUAGCAAGUAGGUCAGUUUGACUGGAACAUAGAUAGCUCACGAGGGUGCAUAUUAUGUAUACUCCUGCCUGGGCUAGGAAUAAUAGAAGAUAUGUUAUAGACUGAUAGAGUCACCAAAUUAUCAUUAAGGAAGACUUAAAAAAACAAACUUUAAAAUUAUAGAAAACCACUUUCUACACAUUCAGAUUCCAGGAUUGUAAAGUUCUAUGUACCCCCCUCCCAAACACACACACACACACACACACACACACACACACACACACACCCCUCUCUAAUGUGUCUAUACCUCUAUACAUGUAUUAUAUAUGUAUACAUGAUGCAUAUAUUUGUAUAUGCAUAUCUAGUGUGAAGAAUAUAUAUGCAAGUGUGCAUAUAUUAUGUAUACAUGUCAUAUAGGAUAUAUGUGUAUAAAUAUAAAUGUGUAUAGUAUACAUAUAUGUACAUAUAUUCAUACAAGAUAGUCAAAUCUAAUAUUGUUAUGAAAGGAAAUUGGUUUGCUAUCUACUGGAAAGUCUAGUUCAUGUUAGAUUGCUGACAAUAGCCAGAAUCAGAAAACCCAUCAGAAGAACAUGACAAAAACUUUUAGGAAUGUAAGUAUGUAACUCAAAAUCUGGUACAUUCUUGGAAUAUAAUAUUUGGUAAUAAAAACAACUCCCUUUUUUGUUUUUUAUUGUUCUUUUUAUUAAAAAAAAACCCUUAACUUCCAUCUUAGAUUCAAUACUGUGUAUGAGUUCUAAGGCAGAAGAGCGGUAAGGGCUGGGUUAUGUGACUUGCCCAGGGUCACACAGCUAGGAAGUGUCUGAGGUCAAAAUUGAACCCAGGACAUCCCAUCUCUAGACCUGUAUCUCAAUCCACUGAGCCACCUAGCUGUCCCCUGGUUUUUCUUGUUCUAAAUGUAAAAAGAUAGCUAUAUUUCAAGUUAAGGCUGAAAUCAUAUAACAGGAACUUAGAUAUUAAAUGAGAAAUCUGGAACAUUCCAUAUUUGGUUUGAAUUUCACACUGAGAUAAUGAAAUUUUGAUACUAGAAAUCAAGAUACUGAAAUCCAAUAUAGUAUAGAAAGAUAUAGAGUCAAUGUCCAAUGCAGAGCUAUAGUUCUUAUUAUAUUGUCAUCAAUAGUGAGAAUCCUGUAGACACAAUCAAUGGAACUAGAUAUAACCAAUAGAAAUAUCAAUAUAAUUAUCCUUUGACAUUUGUGCUUCAUAUUUGUGAUUCUGGUUAUUUGCAGUCUGAUCAUUGAUAAAUGGAAAUCUUUGGAAAUUUGUGGCAUGCUGUGAAGUUGCAGAUGUAUGUAUGUGAAAAAAAUUUUAAGCUAUAAAUGCAUAAAUACUAUAUAUUAUUCAUCUUUCUUAUCAUUCACUACCAUAUUAAAGUUAUAUUUUGUUAAAAGUUUCAGUACAUUGAAGAACUGUGGGCUAUGCACUCUGUGUCGCUCCACCAUCCAGACUCAGUCACAUAAUUUUCUCCUGUAAUGAUCAUUGUAUCUUGUGCUUUUCAUGGGAGAAGGAGAUCCAUGAAGCUUUUGCUACAGCUACAUGUUGUGGCUGUGAAGACUGAAUAGUGGGCAAAAGACCUCUCUCGUGCAGAAACUGCAACUAUUUUAUGGGUGUAAUGUGUUGUUUUAUUUGUUUUUUUUUUGGUUUAUGUAUCAGAAUUAUUUAAAAUAAAGGUUUGGGUUUGAGUCUAGUUAUUAAUGGUUUUCAUAGAUGUCCUGGGUUGAGGGAUGACUAAUAUAAGACAUAGAAAUCUGGUCCAUGUCUUCAGUUUACUAAAAGAUCAAUUAGUUUAUUACCAUUUGGUUUAUGUUGUUCUGAAUGGAAAGCAUGGCGUGAUUCCAAACUAAGGAAAUUAAAACUUAAUCCUGGGAACUGAGUAUAAGGAUGAUAUUAGAAAAUGGGUCUUAUUAUAUUAAUUUAGAGAUAAGAAGUAGAAAAGCUGCCUUGAAAAAGAAUUGGAGUUUGAAGCAGAUCUAAGAUAGUGUCAAUUUCAAAUGUUGACAGUGUGUGUGUGUGGGAGGUUUUAAUGGUUUUUCUGUGGCAGUUACUCUGAGAGAGUAGCAGUGACUUACUCUCUCUCAGAGUGCUGGGAAGAGGUGACAUCUUUUCUCUCUUUUCUCACUGUCUGAGGUAAAAGGAAUGGAGGGGAAAACCUGAAGGAGCUAAGUGAUUUUCCUUUUCCAACUUGGGAAACACUAUCUAUUGCUGAUUCAUAAAUUGCUUUUAUAUCUGAGAAGACCAAAGAAAGACCUGGUUUUUGAUUUGAACUCUGAGUUUGCCAAGGCUCACAGUCCUAACUUGGUUCUUGCUGAGUCUUAACUAGCUAUCCUUUGUUAUUUUUAUAACUUGGAGAUAAAGUUAAGAAUUAUACGGAUAAUAAUGUUAGUUUAUUGUAGAAUUGUGAAAAUUUGGGUUAGUCAGAUCAGGAAGGAUCAGUGUACCCUGUGGAAACAGGAGAAGUGGUUCCUUGUGGAACCAUGGAGUUUUAUUUGGGUGGAGUUAGAAUCCCUUAGAGUUAGAAAUCCUUUUUUAUCCUUAUAUUUUUAAUAAAUAGUUUAUUUUUAUAUAACAGGAGUUUCCUUAGCAUCCUUACACCUGGCCCUGAAGAGAAAGUUCACUCAUGAGCUUCACUUCACUGAUAUAAAGUAAAAAUACUUUGUAAGCACAGCAAGCAGAAUAUCAAAUCAGUUUAUAAAUCAAUAAUCAAUUCUUUGCCCAUUAUUUUUACACGAGAUACCCAAAUUCAGUACAGUUAUACCAUAGCAUUGAUCAAAUACAUAGUAGUUUCAAUUCAUGUUAAAUUGCUGCAAAUUGCUAGAAUCCAGCAAACCUGUUAGUAGGAAUUAAUACAGCUUUUAUGAACUUAAAUGUGUAUUUAGCUACAGAAAAAGGCAUAGUUUACUCCCAAUACAAUAUGAUACUUUGUAUUGUUAUGAAUUCAAAGGAUUGCACUAUUUCAAGCUUAGUUUAUAAAAACUCAUGUAAAAUCCAACAUAUUAAGUCCAACCCAGUUAUCCCAGAUAUUGAUUCAAGAUGUUAUAAAGAGAUUCUGUUCAUGUUUGAAUGAUGCUAAUAUCUGGAAUUCUGUAAAGCUUUCAGCAGAAACACAAGCAGGAAAUAAGAAAUUCCUUGAGAAUAAAACAUGGUCUGAAAGCUAAUAUAUUCCAUUUGGAUUAUGUUGCUGGACAAUUUCAAGCAAUCCAAUGAAUGUUUACUACUAGGAAAAAAAAGUAAUUAAAUCCAAUUCCAUUAUAUGAGGACAGUGAUCCAAUAUCCAGUGAAGAGUGCUAGUUCAAUGUAGAUUACUGCCAACCAAGAGACUCUUAAGAUCUAAGGAAAAAGCCAAUAUCUUUAAAAACUGAAAUUAGUUACUAAAAAUCUGGUACAUUCUUUGAGUAUGACAUAAAAAUAACUAGUUUAUUCCUAUUUGUUUUAUAUUGCUUUAAAUCAGCAGGAGAAACUAGUUCAAGUUACGGUGAUGAAAAUUUACUAUUAGGACUCAAGAUAAUGAAAUCCAAUUUUGAUAUAGUAGGACAUUGAUUCAGUAUCCAGUAGAUAGUUCCAAUAUUUGUUAGAUUGUUGCCAAUAGUUGGAAUACUGACAAUAUUGCAGGAGAAACUAAACAUUCAACAUUUAGUAAUGCACUAGGUAACUUAAAAUAUACUCUAGUUCUUCAAUGUGAUACAUGGUUUAUUUUCCUCCUAUGUCAUUUAUUUUUGUUUUGAAUCAAUAGGAUAACAAUAUAAUGAAAUAAUAUAGAAUAAUAGUUUUCAAAUCUUUUGGUCAUGGGGGAGAAGUUACCACAUCUCUUCUAACAUCACAAUAUCUUGGAAGCAUUGAAAACAUACUAGAACUAGUUAUGAAAACAGCAGCUGGAAAGUCCCUUUAGCUUAGGACAAUCUCUUCUACACCCCUCACCCCAGUAAGUAGAGUCCAAUUUUAUAGAAAGUAUUUCUGAUAAAGGCCUUAUUUCUCAACUAUGUGGGAACUGGGUCAAUUUUAUAAGAAUGCAUAUCAUUCUCCAGUUGAUAAAUGGUCAAAGGACAUGAGCAGGCAGUCUUCAGAUGAAGAAAUCAAGACUAUAGUCACAAGAAAAUGCUCUAAAUCAUUCUUGAUUAGAGAAAUGCAAAUUAAAACAACUCUGAGGUACCACCUCACACCUAUCAAAUUGGCUAAUAUGACAGAAAAGGAAAAUAACAAAUGUUGGAGGGAAUGUGGGAAAAUUGGGACACUAAUGCACUGUUGGUGAAGUCAUGAACUGAUCCAAACAUUCUGUAGAGUGAUUUGGAACUAUGUCCAAAAGGCUUUAAAACUAUUUCAUACUUUUUGAUCCAGUAAUACCACUAGUAGGUCUGUAUCCCCAAGAAAUUUUAUAAAGGGAAAAGGACCUGUUUGUAUAAGAAUAUUUAUAACAGCUCUUUUUGUGGUGGCAAAGAAUUGGAAAUUGAGGGGAUGUCCAUCAAUUGGUGGAUGGCUGAAUAAACUGUAGUAUGUUUUUAUGGAGUACUACUGUGCUUUGGAAAAUGAUGAGCAGGAGGAUUUCGGAAAAACAUGGAAAGACCUACAUGAAUUUAUAUAAAAUGAAGUGAGGAGAACCAGGAGAAAUUGUAUACAGUAACAGCAAUGAUCAGCAUUUACGAAUGCUUAGCUAUUCUUAGCAGUAUAGUGGUCUAAGACAAACCUCAAGGACUCAUGAUGAAAAAUGCCAUCUGUCUCCAGAGGAAGCACUGAUACAAUCUGAAUGCAGAUGGAUACAUACUAUGUUUCAUUUUACUCAUUAAUUUUUCUUUUGUUUCUUUAAUUUUUUUUCAUAUAAUGACUAACUUGGGAAAAUAUUUAACACUGUUAAACAUGUUAAAACAAUAUUAGAUUGUUUUCUGUCUUAUGGAGUGGGGAGGACACAAGGGAAGGAGGAUAAGGAUUUGGCUGAAUUUUUUUUUUAAACCCAAAGAUUGGGGGCAGCUAGGUGACUCAGUGGAUUGAGAGCCAGGCCUAAGAGAUGGGAAGUCCUAGGGUUAAAUCUGGCUUCAGAUACUUCCUAGCUGUGUGACCCUGGGCAACCCCCAUUGCCCAGCCCUUACCACUCUUCUGCCUUAGAAUCUGCCUUAGAACUUAUAGAACCAGUAUUGAUUCUAGGAUGUGUUACAGUAGGAAAUAAGACUUAGGGCAUGAGUGAUUGACAGGGCAUGGGAUUAGAAUUUUCCCUGGAGCUGGUGGAAUAGAAUCCCAGAGAAACAGUUAAGCAACUGACACAAUCUCUCUGGACCUGGAUGAAGGAGGGGGCAUAUUUUCCCAGAGCAGCUUGAGAAACCAUCAUUCAAAUUACACGCCUGGGAAUAUCUCUGGCUGAGCUAGGUAGACUGCAUAACUUAAUUUUUAUGCAUUUUAAUUUAUCUAGAUAAGGUUUCAUUAGAGAUAAGGCAGUAAGUUGGACCAUUCUAAAGUCCCUCUAAGAGUGGUACAGUCCAGAGGGGGAGGCCAGCGGAAUUCUACGACUCUGGGAAAGCUGUGGGAAAUUGAAAAACAAUAAAGGGCCAUUACCUUGUUCUUGGUGGCCAUAUUAGAAAAUUGUUUUUUUUCAGAAUUUCAACUUUAUGAUUGUUUAUUGUAAAAUAUGAUCAUAGUGGAGUUUAAUACCACUAUUUCACCAGUGUAUACUGUAUUACAAAUGAAUAUGAAUCUGACGGGACAUAAUAAUAAAUGUUAUUAAGAUCUUGUGGGAUUGCAUUCUGCAUAUCCCUUACAUUCUAUUUGUAAUGUUUCCAAAUGUAUGUGCAAUGCUUUUAGACUACAACUGUAUGAAACCUAUAAUGGAAAUAAAACUGAAAACUGUAUUAUCACAUA
Non-coding RNA from Monodelphis domestica (gray short-tailed opossum), 14474 nucleotides. Lineage: Eukaryota; Metazoa; Chordata; Mammalia; Didelphimorphia; Didelphidae. The record is from RefSeq and is a predicted model, not a curated record.